CUGCUGCCUCCCGUAGGAGUUUGGGCCGUGUCUCAGUCCCAAUGUGGCCGGUCACCCUCUCAGGUCGGCUACUGAUCGUCGCCUUGGUGGGCCGUUACCCCGCCAACCAGCUAAUCAGACGCGGGUCCAUCUCAUACCACCGGAGUUUUUCACACUUUAUCAUGCGAUCUCGUGCGCUUAUGCGGUAUUAGCAGUCAUUUCUAACUGUUAUCCCCCUGUAUGAGGCAGGUUACCCACGCGUUACUCACCCGUCCG
Molecule: ribosomal RNA, 255 nt
Filed under: uncultured bacterium
Lineage: Bacteria
Description: partial 16S ribosomal RNA
Source: RNAcentral